This is a long non-coding RNA of Mytilus trossulus (common blue mussel), 228 nucleotides long. RefSeq lists it as uncharacterized. The record is from RefSeq and is a predicted model, not a curated record. The transcript has 3 exons. Lineage: Eukaryota; Metazoa; Mollusca; Bivalvia; Mytilida; Mytilidae.
GGUUUUGUUGUGAUAAUUUCGAAAUGAUAGAAGGGAUAUGCAGGAAAUGUCGACUUGGAUACGUUUCCUUACACAAACAAUCUUGUCUGCCGUGUCUUAAUAAUACAUACGGGAAACGAUGUGCAGAAACAUGUGCGUGUACAGCGCAUGAGAGAUGCGACCAUGUGAAAGGAUGUACUAAUACUUCCGCUGCAUUAAAUAACACAACGGAUAUCUUUGUUGAAGGUA